UGACCUGUAAACAAGCAUUUCCAUUAUUUGGCUUGUACCAGUGGAAUGACAGCUUGUCAUGAGAUAUCUUACAUUACAGUUCUUAUCUGUCAUUGCUUUAGGGAUGGCAGAAGAGAGAGAAAAGUGUGGAUGAGCUUCUACUGUUUCCAUGGCUCUUAUAUUGGCAGCUGUUGGAGAUGAAAGCUAUGCCUGGACAAACCCUCUCUGCACCAUAUCUUUUGCCUUUGGAAAGACUGUGUGUAAGGAAUGUUGAUUCUCCAACUAUCAAGUGGCCAGCCAGAUCUCUGCACACACUGCAUCCUUCAAUCCUUUAUUAUCAAGGAAGCCCACAGCUGGUAGUACA
Molecule: non-coding RNA, 343 nt
Organism: Pelodiscus sinensis (Chinese soft-shelled turtle)
Lineage: Eukaryota; Metazoa; Chordata; Testudines; Trionychidae
Source: RefSeq, a predicted model, not a curated record